Molecule: long non-coding RNA, 3463 nt
Organism: Passer domesticus (house sparrow)
Lineage: Eukaryota; Metazoa; Chordata; Aves; Passeriformes; Passeridae
Exons: 3
Source: RefSeq, a predicted model, not a curated record
UGGGUUUCACCGGCCAUGGGUGAACGACGGCAGCGCCCUCACACACAGCCCACACAGCUGAGCUGCCUUCACAACGUGCUGCUGAAGCUUUGUGAUCUGAUCUGAUCUGCAGUACAAAAUGGAGAACCGAAAAGCUGUCAGUUUUGGAAAUGAAAUAUUUUGUGAUCACAGUGGCCAGUACAAUGGAUGCCAACACAGUGGUGUCAUGCUCCAGAGCUACAAGUGGACAGCCUGUAGCACAUGAAGACAGCCACAGUCUACAGGCCAUAUAACCUUCCCUCCUCUUCAAAAUUCACUUGAAGUGCUGGGCAAGUUUGAAGCUCUGCUCUUCAUGAAGGAUAUGGAGGAUUUGCUGAGUGGAAGAAAGAGAAAUCUGGGCCAUGACAUGAACCACUUCUGAUCUAUGAAAGACUGGUGAAAAGAGGAGCUGUUUUCUCCCUUGGAGUUAGAAAAGUCUUUUAUUACAAUAAAUUUUAGGUUAGGCUUAACAAAAAUGUGUUGCCUAAAAUCUUACCUUCUUAGAAAGUGAUGUUAUUAUGGCAUUUUAACCAGAUGAUUUAUUAAGCCCUGUUAUACCUCUUCAUCAUUAUAAAAGACAUUUCAGUACUUUAAUUUCUUAAAUAAAAUCUUUCCAGAUGUUUUCUGCUAAUUUAGGUUGAGAUGCCAUUUCACUUCUAAGAGACUGUGAGUACUUUGAUUAUUCUAUUUUUAUUAGCAAUAUGCUAUAUGAGACUGUGUAAGUUAACAUGUACCAUCUACUCUCCACAAGGCAUUAUUAUUUUUAUACUUCAGGAUAAAGAAGGAUGAAAAUAUCCCUUUAAAGCUCCCAGUUAAAAAAAUUUUUAAUAUUUUCAUCUUCAGGAUUCAGAUUGUCAUACUUCCAGGGGUUUUUUGAAAUCAGAAAUAUAUUGUAAUGUAUUUAUAUUGGAUUACAUACAUGCAUAUGUGUGGAUUUAAGUUUCAGAGAACUGUGUAAUCCACAAGGAACCUCUGAAACCCAUAAUUCUUUCUAAUGAUCACCACUAGCUAAAAACUACCUUAAACAUGUGUGCCUAAGAGUGGUGUUGACACAUCUACAUACUGUAAAUGUAUUUUGGAAGACCUCUAAGAUAUCAAUGCAGUGAAAAAUGAGGUACAGAUGACAGUGGUAAUAGCUGAAUGGAUCGGCUACCUUCUAGAGUUUUCUGAAGGUCUGUGAAAAAUAAACCUUGUAACCUACCCUUGAAGGCUCCCUCUCUGCUCGCUGGAGCUGUUGUGUGCCAUAUCUAAUCAAGCAGUGAGUCAGUGCCAUGAGUUUAGUGGAAUACUCCACUUGGAUAUUAUCACUGAAACCAUUCAUCUUCUUUGUUGGGGCAUGAGUCACCAUGGUUGCAGAUUGUGGCAUCAUGCACAUUUCUCAUUGCUUGCUCUUCAAGUCCAUCGAUUGAAUUUGUGAUAUAAUUGUAAUGUUUUGUUAGAGGACCAUACUAUACUGAAAGUACUCCAAAGGAAAAAAAAAGAAAAGAAAGAAGAAAACAUAAUGUAACCUCACUAAAAAAAAAUCAUUAAAAUGUUUCUGAAGUGCAUCUGCUUCCUAAAACAAAGCGCAAUAUUCAUUGCCAAUAUGACAAGAACAGUGUUGGAAACACUUGCUUCCAAACAAUAGAAAAGGGAAAAAGAAAACAAUUCUCUCCAUCCUGGCCCCAUCUCAUAGAAGGACUAAAAAUCAACACUCUGUCACAGAGAGUAUGCAGGGUUGCUAAGACGUCUGCCAAAAAACUACUCAGUCAAGAGUACAAGAACAAUUCCUUCUCACCAGUGACAUUUUACAGCAAAUCCAUGAAUUCAGAGCAAAACAAGUGAAAAUUAUUUUCCAUAGCAUCCUAAAAAACACCUAAUUCAUGGAUGGCAGGAAGCAGAGUUGUAACUGGCAGACCUCUUAACUGCUAAGUGAUCAAUUUAAAAUCAUCCUGUCAGUCAAGGGAAAGCAUUAUUAAAUUGUUGCAAUAAUAAUAAUUAUUGCCUUCUAGGUGGCCCAUAUUAAUUGGCAUGUCAAAUUAAUUAAAUGAAACCCACCUACAGCAUACAAAACUGACUUAUUUCUACAAAACCACCUUGUUAUGAAAGAAAUUGCAGUUUCACCAUCAACUUUUUGUUUUAACCUUACAUACACUAGAUAAAUCCAGAAUAAGUAACAAUAGUUGUUAUGGACAUAAUAAAAUCGAGUAGAUAACUAAAGCCUGAUUGACAUAAACUCUUCUCCCUCAAGAAGAGAGAAAACAUAGUAAUUUAGAGAAGAAAGUAAGAAUGACAUUAUCAAAAGUGCUAUGAAAUAUACAAAGUAUAUGAACUGAAAAUAGAUGAGAGAGAAGUUUUUCCAUGUUUUUUUUUUUCCACUACUGUCAUUCAAGAGAUUUUUUGAGGUGUUUUGUUUUUGGUUUUGGGUUUUUUUGUGCAGUAGGAUAUAAUGUCACUGGUAUUCAACUGUUCACCCACAAAAAAAUUCAUGUUGCUUGUUGUAAAAAUAUGACAUGCUGCACCUGGAAGAACCCGCUUACAAAUGAGGCUGUCAUGCCCUUCAUUUCCCACCCUUUUUUCCGUGACACCAAACUGGAUGUUUCCUGGAUAGCGCUCUGCAGUCCCUCAGCUAAAGCUCUCCUUUGCUUCCCCACACUCUGGAUGGGACUGUGUACUCUCCAGUGCCCUCUGUGACAAUACAGGCCUUGGUCUCAGUAGUUGUUGAUAUUUGUGAGACUCCUGCAGUGCUUAAAUGGUUUCUUUACUGGAAUUUGAUAUUGCAGCUCAUGAAGAAAAUCAUUCUCGCUCUGGUUUGGUGGAAGGAUUAGCAUUUAACGUCAGUGGUCUAAACUCACUUGUGAAGAGUGAAUCAUUGCUUUUAUUGCAAGAAUAGGCCUAUUUUAAUGAGAUCAUAGCAAUCUCCAGUUUAAUAAUUACUCAUUCAAUUCAAAAUGUAUUGGUUGUAUAUAAUGGUUAUAUAUAAUUUGUUUUUAGUAAAAAAGAAAAAUCUGUGAGGAAAGGCAAUGAUGUAAAAUUAAUCUGAAGUCUAAUUUCCCUCUGAGUUACAUCAGCGCAAUCAACUGAAAUUUCAUCAGGGAGCUACUUUCAAUAAAGAGUAUCAAUAAAGAAUACUUAUAGACAUUUUAUACACCCAUAAAAUUUUUCAAGAAUGUAAAUAUGAAUAUAUACAGCAAGUCUGUUGAAUCUUAUACCUACCUGGAGAAUACACAGUAACUUUGGGGAUAAAAGUGCUAGCUGGAAAAAUAUAAAACAUCUUGAAAACCAGAGAUUUUGGCUGAGACACUCGACAAGUAUAUUCAAACCUUGCUUCUUUUCUUUAAGAGCCCAGUGAGGUGCCCAGCCUGAUUCAGAGACGCUGCACACUUGGUACAGCUAAGCACAACCAGUUCAAAGGAUUGUAUCUUGUCACUUAAUCAUUUCCUGGAGAACAUUCACAAGUAUGUAA